AAAUAGGUAAGCUAAACAUCAAGCUUUUGGGCUCAUAACCCAACAAUGGAUUAAAUCCCCUAUUUA
This 66-nucleotide transfer RNA is filed under the name Polycera hedgpethi. RNAcentral's name for it is "tRNA-Met". Lineage: Eukaryota; Metazoa; Mollusca; Gastropoda; Nudibranchia; Polyceridae. The record is from RNAcentral.